UGAGGUAUGGCGUGCUGAGGAAGGCUCCAGCUGUGAGCGCCUUGAGGCUGUUGCCCCGCAGGUUCAGCUGCUUGGUGAGCUGCGGGUCAUGCAAAGCGCUGUGUUACCGCGGGGCUGUAGCCCUCUCCGGCCCGUCCCCCCCUCCCGGCUCCUCACCCACCUCGGGGAUGGUGUCGGGUACGGCUGUGAGGUUCCGGUUGAGGCACAGGACGUGUGCACGGAGGUUGUCACAGACGCAGACUGCAGGGCAGGGGGCUGCAGCCGUCCCUCCCGGUGCCAGGGCCAGCGUCAGCGCCAGCAGGAGCAGCCCCAUGGUGGGGGCACCUGCGGCCGGGGAGAGGCAGCGGUGAGGGAUAGCAGCAACGCUUUUCUCACCCCAAACAGUAUCUGCUGGGGCCGGGCACUGGGUGGGAACUGUUGGGACAGCCGCUUGUUCCAGCACACAGGAGGCACUGGAUUUGAGAUGCCGUCCUGAGCUGCCACGCUGCUCCCAGAGCUCCUCCAGUCACGCUGUGGAAUAAAGCGAUAUCCCCAGUAUUGCCUAAGUCAGCGGAGUUCCAGAACCACAGAGUUGCUGAAAAAUCAUGUGUGUUGUACGUAGCUCGCUCUGAAAGUAAGGCCUCCUAUUUAUUUCCAUGGAAACUACAACAGAUACAAAGAGCACAAUAACUCCAUCUGACAGAGGAAAUUCUCAGCUACAGAACACUUUUUCAGCAUAAGCACCAUCAUUAGCUAUGCAUUUUCACCAGUGAUAAACAAGAGCCUACAUGCCAUGCCCAUGAAAACCUGCACCAGUGGAGAUGAUCCACUGCUUCACAAGUGCUAUGACAGCAUCGCUGCAAUGAAAAUGAAACGAAAAAGAAAACGUUGCCCGCAGAGUCCGUCGCUCAUCAGCCCUAACAGAUGGAAGUCAGAAGGUUCCAGAAGUGGACUACAGGGUGGGUGUGGUAGCACGGUCCAGCCAAGACUGGCAAUGUGUUUUAUGGUCUUCAAAGUGGUAAGGGUCCUGGUGUUAUCGUACUGCGAAUAAAGGUUGCCUUCUU
Molecule: long non-coding RNA, 1043 nt
Filed under: Gallus gallus (chicken)
Lineage: Eukaryota; Metazoa; Chordata; Aves; Galliformes; Phasianidae
Source: RNAcentral